UACGAAGGGGGCUAGCGUUGCUCGGAAUUACUGGGCGUAAAGGGAGCGUAGGCGGACAGUUUAGUCAGUGGUGAAAGCCCAGGGCUCAACCUUGGAAUUGCCAUUGAUACUGAUUGUCUUGAGUAUGGGAGAGGUGUGCGGAACUCCGAGUGUAGAGGUGAAAUUCGUAGAUAUUCGGAAGAACACCAGUGGCGAAGGCGGCACACUGGCCCAUUACUGACGCUGAGGCUCGAAAGCGUGGGGAGCAAACAGG
This 253-nucleotide ribosomal RNA is filed under the name uncultured bacterium. RNAcentral describes it as "partial 16S ribosomal RNA". It matches the Rfam family "Bacterial small subunit ribosomal RNA", at positions 524 to 776 of the family's 1533-position model. The record is from RNAcentral.